ACGUGCGGCCGCCUGGUGGUGGUGGAGGACCUGCACUCCGGCGCGCAGCAGCACUGGUCCGGCCACUCUGCGGAGAUCUCCACGCUGGCCCUCAGCCACAGUGCCCAGGUGCCCGCCUGCAUCGCCCUCCUCCUCUCCCAGGGCCACCGUGCCCGGCAGAACCCAGCUCCCGGACCGGUGCGGGUUCUCACCACCAAAGACGGAGCAGACGGCCACCCCAGCCUCCACUCCAGCCAGCCACGGCCUCCCCACUCACGCCUGCCCUCUUGCCUGCCAGGUCCUGGCCUCUGCCUCGGGCCGCAGCAGCACGACCGCCCAUUGUCAGAUCCGCGUCUGGGACGUGUCUGGCGGCCUCUGCCAGCAUCUCAUUUUCCCCCAUAGCACCACCGUGCUGGCCCUGGCCUUCUCACCAGAUGACAGGCUUCUUGUCACACUGGGGGACCACGAUGGCCGCACCCUCGCCCUGUGGGGCACGGCCACCUAUGACCUCGUGUCCUCCACCCGCCUCCCGGAGCCGGUGCAUGGCGUGGCCUUCAACCCCUGGGACACCGGCGAGCUCACCUGUGUGGGCCAGGGCACUGUCACCUUCUGGCUCCUUCAGCUGCGCGGGGCAGACAUCAGCCUUCAGGUGCGUCGAGAGCCGGUCCCAGAGGCAGUGGGGGCUGGAGAGCUGACCUCGCUCUGCUACGGGGCACCCCCCCUGCUCUAUUGUGGCACCAGCUCUGGCCAGGUCUGUGUCUGGGACACGCGUGCUGGCCGCUGCUUCCUGUCCUGGGAGGCGGACGACGGUGGCAUUGGGCUGUUGCUGUUCUCGGGUUCUCGAUUGGUCAGCGGCAGCAGCACGGGGCGGCUGUGCCUGUGGGCUGUGGGGGCUGUGUCGGAGCUGAGGUGCAAGGGCUCAGGCGCCAGGUCCAGUUCUGUGUUCAUGGAACACGAGCUGGUGCUGGACGGGGCUGUGGUGAGCGCCAGCUUCGAUGACAGCGUGGACAUGGGCGUCGUGGGCACCACGGCGGGCACGCUGUGGUUUGUCAGCUGGGCCGAGGGCACCAGCACGCGUCUCAUCAGUGGCCACAGGAGCAAGGUGAACGAGGUGGUCUUCAGCCCCGGGGAGUCCCACUGCGCCACAUGCAGUGAGGAUGGGAGUGUGCGGGUGUGGGCCUUGGCCAGCAUGGAGCUUGUGAUCCAGUUCCAGGUGCUGAACCAGAGCUGCCUCUGCCUGGCAUGGAGCCCCCCGUGCUGUGGCCGCCCUGAGCAGCAGCGGCUAGCGGCUGGCUACGGUGACGGCUCCCUGCGCAUCUUCAGCAUCUCCCGCACGGCCAUGGAGCUCAAGAUGCACCCCCACCCGGUGGCGCUGACCAGUGUUGCCUUCUCCACUGACGGUCAGACUGUCCUCUCUGGAGACAAGGAUGGGCUCGUGGCUGUGAGCCACCCCCGCACAGGGACAACCUUCCGUGUGCUGAGUGACCACCAGGGCGCCCCAAUCUCUACCAUCUGUGUCACGUGCAAAGAGUGUGAAGACUUAGGGGUGGAGGGCACAGACCUAUGGCUGGCUGCCAGUGGGGACCAGCGGGUCAGCGUCUGGGCCUCCGACUGGCUGCGGAACCGCUGUGAGCUUGUGGACUGGUUGAGUUUCCCAAUGCCUGCCACCACGGAGGUAAACCAUGCUCCUGGCACUGUGGGUGGGGCCGGUACCCAUCCACCCCACCGCAGCAUGCUGCGCCUUUGCAGACUCAGGGCCACCUGCCACCCUCCCUCGCUGCCUUCUGCCCUUGGGAUGGGGCGCUCCUGAUGUACGUGGGCCCCGGUGUUUACAAGGAGGUGAUCAUCUACAACCUCUGCCAGAAGCAGGUGGUGGAGAAGAUACCACUGCCCUUUUUUGCCAUGUCCCUGAGCCUGUCCCCCGGGACCCACCUCCUGGCUGUUGGCUUUGCUGAGUGCAUGCUGAGGCUGGUAGACUGUGCCAUGGGGACUGCCCAAGACUUUGCCGGCCACGACAAUGCAGUGCACCUGUGCAGGUUUACACCGUCCGCCAGGCUGCUCUUCACGGCCGCCCGCAACGAGAUCCUUGUGUGGGAGGUCCCCGGCCGCUGAGAUGCAGCAGGGACUGUGGUGGUGGGCAUCACGCCUGGUCAUGCCAGGCACCUGGACAGAGGCUUGGCAGAGGCGCCAGGUUGUCAAUGGCCUCAUGCUGGGACAGGCCAGGAUUCAUGUAAAUCGCCUGGAGCAAGCUGUUGUAAAUUUGGCGACCUGUAAAUACUUUCAUACCUGUUGCCCUUUUGCCUAAGAAAUCUUUAAUGUUUCUAUCUUGUAAUAAACAUGGGCAUUUAUUGC
RNAcentral lists this small RNA (2331 nucleotides) under Pan troglodytes (chimpanzee). Its description in RNAcentral is "retained intron". Lineage: Eukaryota; Metazoa; Chordata; Mammalia; Primates; Hominidae. The record is from RNAcentral.